Megalobrama amblycephala (Wuchang bream) is the source of this 1352-nucleotide long non-coding RNA. RefSeq lists it as uncharacterized. The record is from RefSeq and is a predicted model, not a curated record. NCBI's taxonomy places the organism in Eukaryota, Metazoa, Chordata, Actinopteri, Cypriniformes, Xenocyprididae. The transcript is spliced from 4 exons.
ACCCGGACAGACCUGCCCCACGCCCUAGAGGACGACCACCAUGACGUCGGGGUCCGCGGCCCUCAGGAGCGGGCCGUGGGAGGGGGGGUACUGUCACAGACACGUCAGGUUCCACCUCCCUGCAGUAUCCACGCACACAAUCACCAGAGUUUUAAUCACCGUCACCUGCACGUCAUCAACUCAGCAAUCACCAGCACCAUAUAACCACCACACUCACACACAGUCUUUGUCCGGUCUCGUUUGCACUACAAUCUCUGUAUGCUUACCUUAAGGACUCCAAACGGCAUACUUACCUGCUCCAGUCAUCUCCUCCAUCUCCUUCGUCUCCUGUUCUCCUCGUGUGCCUACCUGCCUGUGUGUGUGAGUGUGUGAGUGUCUCCGCCAUCAUCCUCCAACUCAACUCUCCAUCUGCAUCUGAAAGACAUCAGGAGGACAGUAUCACAUUCUCUCCAUCAUCCAAGAACUGCUAUAUCUUCACAUCAUCACUAUCUGCUCUGCUGUUUCACCAAUAAACCUACCUGUAUUGCUUUUACUCCUGCCUCCGUGUCUCUGUUGUAACAAUAUAAUAUAGCUUUUGCUUUCAUGCAACAUGGAAUAAAAUAUUUAUUCAGUAAUCAUGUCAGAUGAGCAAGUGCUCCAACUUCUGUACAUCUGUACACAUGAGAGGCAGUAAGAAGACAAGAAAAGUGAACGGCGUCCCAUGAAAAAGCCCUUUACUUUCAACACUGUCAGGGAUUUUUUUCCAGUAUUUUUUUAAUGUGUAUAUUUUGUAAAUGUUUCAUUGAUCAUAUUUUUAUUAUUGUGAUAUUUUGUGAUGUGAGUCCUUCUGUCUCUCCUGUAGAUCUCUGAUCCCAAUGAAGACACAUAUACAGCUCUUGAGCUCAAGUCCAUGACCUCUGACCUGUACGACACACUCACAGUAAAGAUCUCUGAUCCCAAUGAAGACUCAUAUACAGCUCUUGAUCUCAAGUCCACGACCUCUGACCUGUACAACACACUCACAACGGUUCAUCCCAGAGCUCCUGAAGACUCCUGCAGGACUCUUGAUCCUCAGAGCUUUUCUAAACAUGAGAAUCCAUCAAUCAACAGGAAGAUGCUGCAGUAAGAGGCGGAGCAUGAAGGAACCAAUCCUGUGCUCUGUGGGCGGAGCCACAUGUGAUUGACAGGAUCAUCAGUGAUGAGUCACACACGAGUUUCAUUUCUGUAUAGUUGAAGAAACAUGAUGUAGCAGAGGAAUUAAAUGAAAGUUAAAAACUUGUUAUUGUUUAAAUAUAAAUGUUAAAAUUAAUUCACAGAGCAAAACACAACCCAGCCAGCAGAGCCAUGUGGGGCCCAAAUGGGUUUGACCUGGG